AGAGGUUCUAGGGGCAGCCGGCGCGCUUCUCUAGUUGCAGCUUGGGCGGCUCCUGUGGUGGGCGGCUAGGGGCGAGCCGGGAUGGGCUAUAGACGCGCGACGUGAUCAGUUCGCACGCGGACCCACGCCUCCCAUCGCUCUGCCUCAAGAGCCUAUUCUGUGGGUGCAGGCACGCACCGGACGCAGACCCGGCCGGAGCAUGCGGGGUGCGGUGUGGGCGGCCCGGAGGCGCGCGGGGCAGCAGUGGCCUCGGUCCCCGGGCCCUGGGCCGGGUCCGCCCCCGCCGCCACCGCUGCUGUUGCUGCUACUACUGCUGCUGGGCGGCGCGAGCGCUCAGUACUCCAGCGACCUGUGCAGCUGGAAGGGGAGGUGAGUCUUGCGGGUGAUUCCAGCGUGGACUCCCUGGACCUGGACCGGAGCCCUCGGCAGCGAGUGGCAGAGCUUGCGGGGUAGGGACAGCUAUGCUGGCCAAGUCCGGUGACCCCCGCCCUAGCUCUGGUUUCAGAACAAAAGAGUUGGUGGCAUCUGGGUCCCAGCUCGGAAGACGCCCACUCUCCGCGCGCGUAAUACUGCCCUAGUGGGUUUCCUGGGCUCCAUAGGCUGCAUGUUUGGUCCUCCCAACGGUUGGGAUUUCUGAUUCUUGGGAAAGGGUUGGGAUUGUGCUCAUCUAGAGGGACAGCUGUGGCGUGGAGAGCGUGGGGUCCAAACGAGACCCGUAUCGGCUGCAGACCGUAUCUUUGGGGCAAAGAGAUGGGGUCGACACCUGUCUGCGGCCAAAUGCAGUAGGGUAGAGCCCUGAGCCCGCUUGGUGAAGGUCAAGCCGCCCUUGGCAGCAGGGCACAGGGUUCCUGUGACACUUCUCUCUCGUCCCCAUCAGCAGUGACAGCGGAGGACUUUUUGCUGUUGUUUUAACUGAAGUGUGACGUAUGGAAAGAAGCACAAGUCACAAGUGUGCGCGGGCGGGGUGCCUGAGGAGUCGUAGCUACUUUGGACACUGAGAACGCGCCAGGCACAGCGGCCGGCCCCCUCUCUUUGCAGAGCCAGUUUUUUACAGCUGCAAGUUGCCAAUUCAGCGGUUUGCAUAGCGCGCUGCGCUGAUGCGGGUCUCCUGAAAACGUGGGCUGGGACGGCGGUGGGGGUCUGAUGUAGCUCAUCCCAGGGGCAGGGCGCUUGCGCAGGCCUGGGGAGGUACACGAUCUCGUCUGAAGCACAGACUCCAGUGAAGGGGGCUCAUGGGGCAAUGCGUGCGGUGGGUGAUUUUGGUCAAGAGGGUUUUCUGAGAAAGGUGGAUGUUGGGCAGUGCCCGGAUCUGCGUAAGCAGGGCAUCAAUGAUUAUCUUGUACACUUACAGUGCCUGACUUUCUGAGAAAACCACAGAGACCAAAAUCAACCCUCAUCAAGACUCCUGCUGGAGUGCUUGGACUGAAAGAUUGAGAGCAGCUUCUUGAGCUCUGCAGUACCGGUCUUUAAGGGAGUUGGAGCUUUCUCUCCCGCAGAAAUCCCUUCUGCCUGGCAAGAGCAGGGAGUUAGAGGGCUUGGGGCAGACAAGAGCAGAUUGGAUCUGAGGGAGGACUGGCCUCGGGAAUGCUGGCGCCAUCAUAGAGCUGGCCAUGAGCCUGUGAUGCUAAGCUCUUACCGGGCGGCCCUUUCCCCGUGGUAAUUAAUUCUCUGCUCACAACCAGCACUGCUGAGUUAGUGUACUCUAACCUCAGAUCUUGGUGUGCCCUGUUCCGGCAGACCAAAACCAGAAACGGAACGCCUGCCUUUAAAUGAGGUUUCCAGACACUUGCUUUUCUUCCAGGUUCUUAGAAGGCGAUGUGCCUGGAAGACUACCUUUCCCUGAGCCCGGGGAUCUAUGGUGAGGGGUGGCUUUCCCCAAGGUAGUGAGGGAUUGAGUACAGACAAACUAAAAGACACCUUAUUUCUGUGGGUCCAUUCUCAUUUAAGUGGAACCAGAUGACUACCUCGUGAUGCAUGUGACUGCUGGGGUGGCAGCCCCCAAAUUCAAGUCUGGGCAGUGUGAGCUGGCUACCUGUCCCCUUGGAUUCCCCCUCUCCCCUUGCUGUCCUUCUCCAGAGCCAGGCCAAGGCCUCCAAAAGUGUGUGAGCAGUGGGAACUGUCCAGUAGCUGGUCAUCCUUAUGCCUACCUGGCCCUUCUCCCCCAACUCAUUCCUAUUCUGGGAUUCCCUUGAGGGCUUCUUUCCCAGGGCACAGCUCUGCAGAGGACAGCUGAAGGUGUCUGGUAGUUGUAGGUAGGUAGAUAGGAUUGGGAGAACACAUAAUAUUCCCUUUUGUUAUAGGCAUGGUCCCCACUUAUAAAUGCACUUCACAGGUCAGUUGACUACUGCCCAGCAUGCUGGCAAGCUUGCUACUCUACAGUGUUUAUGAGUGUUUUCUUUUCAAGCAGUCUAGAACAAAUCAAUGGGUGAAGCAAGACUCAAAAUGUUGGAUUCUGGCCUCUGGUAGGAAGGGAGUUGCUCUCCACAGCCCUGGCCACUUCACUUAACUCAUAUAGACGCUAGGUGUUUGCAAGGAAUCAAGUUGGAAAUUUUGUGUUGAUUAGUCAGUGCCAUAAAGGUGGACCAUGAACUUUCUCACUGUGAUCAGUGGGAAGUCGGCAGGCGUAGUCACACCUGGGCUGUCUUGUGAGGUGGGAAAUGAAAGGCAAGACUUAGCAGCAGAACCUUUUGGUUUCUCUUGGAUCCAAAACCCUUGUAGAGACCCUUGUCUUGUUCUAGUAGCUUGUCUGUGGGUAUUAGCAGUGUACCUGAGCAAGUCCUGCUCACAUCCUCGGGUCCUCACACAAAUCUGGAAUUUAUGAUUUGUCUUACAAGGCCAUUAAAAUUUGUGUUCAUCUGGGUAGUGAGCCUUGCUGAUUG
RNAcentral lists this long non-coding RNA (2879 nucleotides) under Mus musculus (house mouse). Its description in RNAcentral is "long non-coding RNA chr11:121702426-121705305". The record is from RNAcentral. Lineage: Eukaryota; Metazoa; Chordata; Mammalia; Rodentia; Muridae.